Coturnix japonica (Japanese quail) is the source of this 1225-nucleotide non-coding RNA. The record is from RefSeq and is a predicted model, not a curated record. NCBI's taxonomy places the organism in Eukaryota, Metazoa, Chordata, Aves, Galliformes, Phasianidae.
AGUGAACAUGAAAGAAAUGUUUAACCAUGAAUUCCUACAGUCUUUAACUAUCAGUGCUCUUUUCAUUCAGCAGCCACAACUGCCAUUACUUCUGCCCACAAGGGAGAGAGCAGUGGUGAAGGCGCAUGGAAAGGCUAUCUCUGCCUGCAGUGUGAGGCUGCAGACUGAUCCGAUAACAUAACACCAUGGAUUCUGUAUCCACGAGGCUGCCCAAAACUGUUUGCAGAUUUGGUGCAGAGGAGCGGCAUGGACUCAUCUGGACUGGAUGAGUGCAGAAUGGUGCAGAGAAGAAAUAUGUGGGCAACCAGCAAAGCAGCAGCAGAACAAACUUUCUAGAUCUGUUCUCUUUUUUUUUCCUUGGAGGCCAGAUAUGGCACCUAGAGAGAAGACAAAUCCAGUAGACAACUGGUACACUUUGGAUAGUGCAAUGAAUUUGAUUAAUAAUGGACAUGACGUGUAGAUAUAAUGAAGUGAUAAUCUAUCUGCAUCUGUGGAAAUGAAAUAAAUGAGCCUGAAAAAUGUGAAGACAGAGCUAGAAGGAAGAGUAUAACUUUGCUUCUGGUUUAUUACAGUAAUCCUGAAUUGGCAAUGCAAUACAGCAAAACCUGAAAGAGACCUCAGGUCCUUUUCACUUGAUGUUAUCAUCAUCUGUUGAAGGAUGCAGCAUUAUCUCUUAGAUGCAACAUCACUUUCCCUUUCUGGGGACAGUGCAACAUAGGUUUCUCCUUCUGUUCUCCAUUCAGUGUACAUCACAACUAUUGUACUAUUGUUCACUUUUCUUAUUUUAAGAGACUGAAUGUGCACAUUUUUUUCCCACUAAUUGCCCAGCCACGAACUUCAGUUACUUACUCUGUGCCUACUGAAUAAAGAAAAUGAGGAGAAAACCAUACCAAAACUAUUGAGUUGAUUAUGCCAGUCACUGGAGCAGAUGUCAUGGCUCAGACAAAUAUUUUUAGUCAUAGACGCAAAGAGUUAGCAAUUAUGAGCCUUCAUGAAGAAGAGAAAAAUAAAGGACAGUAUGAAUUCAGGCACUGUUAUGAAGUCUUAUUAGAUGUAAAGAAAAAAUGUGAAGUAUUACAUUUAUGGUGUUGGAAAACAAUGACAUGACACCAGGUAUAUUGUCUUUUUUUUUAGAUUAUCUUUUUAAUCUUAACCUUAUCACUUCAAUUCUGAACUAAUUUUAACAUAACAUUCUUUUUUUUUGUUGAUCAGAAGUAUCUUGGCU